Molecule: ribosomal RNA, 253 nt
Filed under: Coprococcus comes ATCC 27758
Lineage: Bacteria; Bacillati; Bacillota; Clostridia; Lachnospirales; Lachnospiraceae
Description: partial 16S ribosomal RNA
Rfam family: Bacterial small subunit ribosomal RNA
Source: RNAcentral
UACGUAUGGUGCAAGCGUUAUCCGGAUUUACUGGGUGUAAAGGGAGCGUAGACGGCUGUGUAAGUCUGAAGUGAAAGCCCGGGGCUCAACCCCGGGACUGCUUUGGAAACUAUGCAGCUAGAGUGUCGGAGAGGUAAGUGGAAUUCCCAGUGUAGCGGUGAAAUGCGUAGAUAUUGGGAGGAACACCAGUGGCGAAGGCGGCUUACUGGACGAUGACUGACGUUGAGGCUCGAAAGUGUGGGGAGCAAACAGG